This 468-nucleotide ribosomal RNA is filed under the name uncultured bacterium. RNAcentral's name for it is "partial 16S ribosomal RNA". It matches the Rfam family "Bacterial small subunit ribosomal RNA", at positions 28 to 507 of the family's 1533-position model. The record is from RNAcentral.
GACGAACGCUGGCGGCGUGCUUAAUACAUGCAAGUCGAACGGAAGGGCCCUGCGCUUGCGGGGUUCUCGAGUGGCGCACGGGUGUGUAACACGUGAGUAACCUCUCCUUGUCUUUGGGAGAACAUUAGGAAACAGGGGCUCAUACCGCAUAGGAUAUUCUGCUGCAUGGUGGGGGUUGGAAAGAUUCGGCGGUUGGGGAUGGACUCGCGGCUUAUCAGCUUGUUGGUCAGGUUGUGGCUGACCAAGGCUGUGACGGGUAGCCGACAUGAGAGGGUGACCGGCGACAAGGGGACUGCGAGACGGCGCAGACUGCAACGGGAGGCAGCGGGGGGGAACAUGGCGGAAUGGGCGGAAGCCUGAUGCGGCGACGCCGCGUGCGGGAAGACGGCCUACGAGGGAUGAACCGCUGUCGAAUGAAACGAAGAGUGAGUGACGGUAACGGGUCAAGAAGCAACGGCUAACUACGUG